UUAACGUAAAUCAUUUAUUUAUUUUGCAGUGACAGAUGCGGCUCAUAAUAAACUCAUAAUUUUUCAAAUUCUUCUCAUCUAAUCUUCCAUGGUACUAUUAUGACGUCCAAUUUUCAUGAAACAGCAAAAAACAGGAGAAUCAAAGGAGAAGAUGAAUUACUAUCUACCAUGUAUUUAACAAGUUCAAGAAGAUCGAUGUUAUCAAUCUAAACGAAGAACGUGAUGGCAAGCAGAUUUGUGAUAACGGCGUCAUUUCGUCGGCGGCUACAGGGUAGGAGCAGAAAACUCACAUCUGCAUUCAAGAGAAAACUCACAUCUGAUUCAAUAGAAUUUAUGAUUCAUAGUCAACUACUAGAUAUAUUUGCCUCCAUCUGCGUCAUUUCCGCGCUAUAUGAAAAAAAGAAAAUAUUUGAAAUUUUUCAAGGUGAAGAAAGAAACUGUGAAGCAUUCCAUAUAAAAUGUCUAGGUCAGGAUGAAUAAUUUGCGAGCUUUUGGAGUUGCAAGAAAUUUCUAGAUAGGAGUUUGCGGAACAGGUGUCUCGGCGACGAUAUCGUAAAUCGCCGACGACGGUAUCGUCGAACGGCCAAAAUAAAGUCACGAGCUUUAAGAACGUCAAGCAAGCGAACGCAAGAGAACAUCUUCACUACUGACGCAACUCUCAACCCGACAACAGAUUGCCUGCCAUGCCGCCAUUGCAUACAGAUGAUCCAUUAAUGUAACCGGCACCGAUAGCGCUUUAUCCGGCGACUCAUCCUACAGGUGCCCCCAAAGAUAUUCGAUGUGCCCACCAGUCGCGUAUUUUCAGCUUUCUUGGAGCGUCUCCAGGUGCGAGGGAGGAGAAAGAGAUAUACGUGACGUCGUCGAUGGGAGACGCGGAGGAGAGAUCUUGAUGGAUAAAUCGCGACUGGUAACCACGUGCAACUUUCAUAAAAGACAGCGGAAGAAUCUACGAUUGCAAAGAAACGAUACUCGCUCGAGAGUUACACGUUGAGGUCAAAGAUCACACCUGAAAAAUUUUGGUAAUUUUUCGCUCGAAAAAAAUGGAUAAGUAUAGGGGCGGAUUUUUUGCGCCAAUGACGGGAGCGCUGAGUCAUUAAGACUGAUUCCAAGGGACGGCAGGAUCGUUUAGGGAGAAAAUGCGUGACUGUAUCGUGUGUCGUCCCGUGUGUAAAGUAUCCGGAUACGCUGGGUUCCUCCUAUAAAUCAGCGACCUCCCGCGUGCUCCCUCUUUUCCUCGUGUCGGUGGUAACAAGUACUUUCCGUGUGCCGGAAAAAAGGGAAAAGCACGCGAUCGCUAUUUAAAAGGCUCGUAGGUGGGCGGUUUUUUAGCAGUAGUCGGGAUAUGUAUAAAGGCGAGCGCAGGGAGAUAGAGAAGGGGAGAGCCAGAGAGAGAGAAAGAGAGAGGGCUUCGACUUCGCCGUUCCGCCUCGGCAUGGGGUUGCCAUGCUAUUUUCAGGCUCUGAUGGCUCGAUGCAGCUGUCGUGUUCUUCGGGUAAACCACCUCUCUUCUAUUCCACGGCCAUUCGCAAGGCGCGACAAGGUAAGCUAAGAAGAUCGGAAUCCAGAAUCUCGCGACGCGAGAGACGCACAUCUUCCCCUUGGUGAAUUUUUCUCAAAGUCAGACGUUCGCCAAUUUUGCUUCUCGGUAACCAAGGCAAGCAGAGUGACGCAUGUCUUAUCUUUGUCAAAAUUGUGUUGGAAUUUUGUGUUGCAUUGACAGAAAGAGAAUUUGAAUCGAAUUAUAAUAUGAAAAUUGUGCUUCAUUUCAAAAAAUUAUUCUCCAUUUCUUUGUGUCUGUAUAAGAAAGAAAUAAGAAAAAAAUCUUUAUAUAAAAUAAUGUGUACUAACAUUCAAAAUCUCAAUACGGUUAAAAAAUGAAUUUUUAUUUAAAUAUUGUAAAUACAUGUUUUAUAACUUUGUAGCUUUAAAAAUUUGCUAAAAAUACAAAAAUCCUAUUUAUGUUAUAAGGAGAUUUGCACAAUUUAUUAUUGCAAUCUGAUUAUGAGUAGCCAUUGGUGUCUGUAUCGAAUGUUAAUAUUAUAUGAUUACUAAAAGUUCUGCGCCGUAGACGAUCAUAAACAUUUAUGGCAACGCAAACACCAUGAAAUAAUAACCAAAGUCUUACGAUUUCCAGGAAUGUUCGGUGAACACUUUUGCCUAGAUUUUGCAAAUUGGAAGAAUCUAUAAGAAUUGUCGGAUUCCAAAAAUAGCAACAAACGAUGAUGAGGACACACGGUACUCUUCCACGAAAAGACGUGUCGGCGAGAAAGUAGGAAUAAAAGUUCUCGUGACUCUCUUCCGCGGAAGAGCUUCUACUGGAGAAUGAGGGAUGAAGACGAAGCCGAAGAUAAGUCGCGAAGACUUGGCAGGACGCCAAAUGACAGAUUUUCAGCCGUCUACGUGUACUCUUUCAACUUACCCGUCUGCGCUUUCCUUCGGCUCCCCUAUGCAUCCUCUAGGAUCUAGGGUGCAAUGACAUCGGGCGGCGCAAUUUAAUUCUCUAUUCAUGGUCCGUGAAUCAUUAUGCAAGAAUAUGCUUUACGUCUCGAUUAUUUCUCAGCAUUGUCGUUAUUUUUAAGUCUGCAAGAGAAAACAAUGAUGUAAAUUAGUGGAUGAAUGUAAGAAUAGAAGUGUGUAAAAAAGGGACAGGAAGAGAAUGCAAGAUAAUUAACCAGUUAUCUCAUUUUAAUGCUGAAAAAGACAAGAGAAGUAAGUUGAAUAAUAUUAAAAUAUAUAUAUAUAUAUAUAU
This is a non-coding RNA of Nylanderia fulva, 2749 nucleotides long. Lineage: Eukaryota; Metazoa; Arthropoda; Insecta; Hymenoptera; Formicidae. The record is from RefSeq and is a predicted model, not a curated record.